This 73-nucleotide transfer RNA is filed under the name Myotis brandtii (Brandt's bat). It matches the Rfam family "tRNA". Rfam says of the family: Transfer RNA (tRNA) molecules are approximately 80 nucleotides in length. Lineage: Eukaryota; Metazoa; Chordata; Mammalia; Chiroptera; Vespertilionidae. The record is from Rfam by way of RNAcentral.
GCCAGUGUGGCUCAGUGGAUAGAGCAUCAGCCUGCGGACUGAAGGGUUCCGGGCUCGAUUUCGGUCAAAGGCA